Molecule: ribosomal RNA, 479 nt
Filed under: uncultured bacterium
Lineage: Bacteria
Description: partial 16S ribosomal RNA
Rfam family: Bacterial small subunit ribosomal RNA
Source: RNAcentral
GAGGAAAGCGGGCGGUAGGCCUAACACAUGCAAGCCGAGCGGUAUUUGUUCUUCGGAACAGAGAGAGCGGCGCACGGGUGCGGAACACGUGUGCAACCUGCCUUUAUCUGGGGGAUAGCCUUUCGAAAGGAAGAUUAAUACCCCAUAAUAUAUUGAGUGGCAUCAUUUGAUAUUGAAAACUCCGGUGGAUAGAGAUGGGCACGCGCAAGAUUAGAUAGUUGGUGAGGUAACGGCUCACCAAGUCAAUGAUCUUUAGGGGGCCUGAGAGGGUGAUCCCCCAGACUGGUACUGAGACACGGACCAGACUCCUACGGGAGGCAGCAGUGAGGAAUAUUGGACAAUGGGUUAGCGCCUGAUCCAGCCAUCCCGCGUGAAGGACGACGGCCCUAUGGGUUGUAAACUUCUUUUGUAUAGGGAUAAACCUACUCUCGUGAGAGUAGCUGAAGGUACUAGACGAAUAAGCACCGGCUAACUCCGUG